Molecule: ribosomal RNA, 253 nt
Filed under: uncultured bacterium
Lineage: Bacteria
Description: partial 16S ribosomal RNA
Rfam family: Bacterial small subunit ribosomal RNA
Source: RNAcentral
UACGGAGGGUGCGAGCGUUGUCCGGAAUCACUGGGCGUAAAGGGUGCGUAGGUGGCGGGGUAAGUUUGAUGUGAAAGCUCAGGGCUUAACCCUGAAAUGGCAUUGAAUACUACUCUGCUGGAGGUUUGGAGGGGGGACUGGAAUUCUUGGUGUAGCAGUGAAAUGCGUAGAUAUCAAGAGGAACACCAGUGGCGAAGGCGAGUCCCUGGACAACACCUGACACUGAGGCACGAAAGCUAGGGGAGCAAACAGG